GGAUAAUACCGGAUAUGGAACGAAGUGUGGAAUCCUUUCAUUCCUGAAAGAUUCGUCACUCCAGGAUCGGUCGGCGGCCCAUCAGGUAGUUGGUGAGGUAACGGCUCACCAAGCCUAUGACGGGUAAGGGCCAUGAGAGUGGUUGCCCUGGGAGGGACACUGAGAUACUGGUCCCAGCCCCACGGGGUGCAGCAGUCGCGAAAACUCCGCAAUGCGCGCAAGCGUGACGGGGGGAUUCUGAGUGCUUUGGUCUAACCAAGGCUUUUCGUGGGGGUUAAUACCUCGCGGAAUAAGUGGUGGGCAAGACUGGUGCCAGCCGCCGCGGUAACCCCAGCGCCACAAGUGGGAACCACGUUUAUUGGGUCUAAAGCAUCCGUAGCCGGCUUGUUAAAUGCCCUGUGAAAUCGUUCUGCCUAACAGGACGGCGUGCAGGGUAGACUGGCAAGCUAGGAACCAGGAAAGGUAUGCGGUAUUCUGUGGGGAACGGUAAAAUGUUAUAAUCCACAGAGGACCACCGAUGGCGAAGGCAGCAUACUUGAAUGGAUUCGACGGUGAGGGAUGAAAGCCAGGGGAGCGAUCCGGAUUAGAUACCCCGAGUAGUCCUGGGCCGUAAACGCUGCGUGGCCAGAUGUUUGCACAAUCCUUCGCGAUUGGUCAAGUGUCCGCAACCGAAAGGUGUUUAAGCACCGCCACCCUGGGGAAAGUACGGGUCCGCAAAGUCUUGAAAACUUUAAAAGGGAAUUUGGGCGGGGGGGAAGCAC
This 761-nucleotide ribosomal RNA is filed under the name uncultured archaeon. RNAcentral's name for it is "bacterial SSU rRNA". It matches the Rfam family "Archaeal small subunit ribosomal RNA", at positions 144 to 882 of the family's 1478-position model. The record is from RNAcentral.